Molecule: ribosomal RNA, 208 nt
Filed under: uncultured bacterium
Lineage: Bacteria
Description: partial 16S ribosomal RNA
Rfam family: Bacterial small subunit ribosomal RNA
Source: RNAcentral
UCAGAUUGCAGGCUGCAACUCGCCUGUAUGAAGUUGGAAUUGCUAGUAAUCGCGGAUCAGCAUGCCGCGGUGAGUACGUUCCCGGGCCUUGUACACACCGCCCGUCACACCAUGAGGGCCGGUAAUACCCGAAGUCAGUAUCCUAACCGCAAGGAGGGAGCUGCCGAAGGUAGGAUUGGCGAUUGGGGUGAAGUCGUAACAAGGUAAC